GCUCCAAUAGCGUGUGUUAAAGUUGUUGCAGUUAAAAGCUCGUAGUUGGACUUCUGAAGGCAACAAGCGUCUUGUACGCCUGUGACUUCAUCCUUCUGUUAACAGUUCUUGGCCUUCAUUGGCUGGUGCUGGGCUCAGAUUCUUUACCAUGAGGAAAAUAGAUUGCUUCAGGCAGCUCGCGCCAGAAUACUUUAGCAUGG
Molecule: ribosomal RNA, 200 nt
Filed under: uncultured eukaryote
Lineage: Eukaryota
Description: partial 18S ribosomal RNA
Rfam family: Eukaryotic small subunit ribosomal RNA
Source: RNAcentral